This 455-nucleotide ribosomal RNA is filed under the name uncultured bacterium. RNAcentral's name for it is "bacterial SSU rRNA". It matches the Rfam family "Bacterial small subunit ribosomal RNA", at positions 340 to 786 of the family's 1533-position model. The record is from RNAcentral.
UACGGAAGGCAGCAGUGGGGAAUAUUGCACAAUGGGCGAAAGCCUGAUGCAGCUAUGCCGCGUGUAUGAAGAAGGCCUUAGGGUUGUAAAGUACUUUCAUCGGGGAGGAAAAACAAAACUAAUAAUUUUAUUUCUUGACGUUACCCGAAAAAGAAGCACCGGCUAACUCCGUGCCAGCAGCCGCGGUAAUACGGAGGGUGCUAGCGUUAAUCAGAAUUACUGGGCGUAAAGAGCACGUAGGUGGUUUUUUUAAGUCAGAUGUGAAAUCCCUGGGCUUAACCUGGAACUGCAUUUUGAAACUGAAAUACUAGAGUAUCGUAGAGGGAGGUAGAAUUCUAGGUGUAGCGGUGAAAUGCGUAGAUAUCUGGAGGAAUACCUGUGGCGAAAGCGGCCUCCUAAACGAAUACUGACACUGAGGUGCGAAAAGCGUGGGGAGCAAACAGGGAUUAGAUACC